AUAGUAUAGCAGCAGAUGAGGCCAUCUAGAGAGUGCUUACAUAAGCCAGUACCACAGCAUACUCACCAGCAGCCAGUGCUUAACAGGCAGACAUUUUGCUAAGGAAGGGAUGACAUGGACCAAGCCAAAAGCUAGUUUCUUGGCCUGCCACAGGAACAGUGAGGGAAAAGCCAAAGAUGAACUUUUGAAUAAUGAGGCUGAGAAUGACAAUCUAUAAGAGAGAUUAGAAUUGAAACAGCUGGUCAAUAUUAAAAUGCUGAGGGAAAGAAAUUGUAUUCGAGUGAACUGGGAAGGACUCAUCAUAUUCAUGCUCUAGAUUUUCUCAUCAGCCUUCAGUCGAAACUAUAACCUUCCCAUCUAUGCAGUUGAGUUCAGUUUUGUCCUGACUACUUGGAGCAUCAGGGCCUGUGUAUCUUACUUCGCCCUCCUUGUGAGUUGCCACUUCCUGUUCAUCCUCCUAUCAACGUGAUAUAAACACCAAAAUAGACCAAAGUAAUUAUCUGGGGAAUGUCCAGAGGGUGUUUACCUUCAGAAAAUUAACAGCUUUGAGACUAAAUCGAUGACCCAGCAAGAAGGUUCUCAUCAGUGGCUGACCAGAUGCCAGAAACAUGCCAUUGGAGUGCCCAGCCUUCAGAACAGAAACAUGGCUGUAUAAGUAGAAAACUUUGAAGAAUUUGCUGUAAGUAACAAAUAUGUUUAGAAAGGUUACAGACUACAAUAUCUAAUUUAGAAGUCCUUUGUAUUUCUACAUAUUAGUAAUAAAUAAUUGGAAUUUAAAAUUUAUAAAAAGUACUAUUAUAAUAGUACUAUCUAAAAUGAA
Molecule: long non-coding RNA, 820 nt
Filed under: Homo sapiens (human)
Lineage: Eukaryota; Metazoa; Chordata; Mammalia; Primates; Hominidae
Description: HSALNT0108769
Source: RNAcentral